UCCUAAUACGUUUUCCAUCAGCAGCCGUUCUUGUCUUCUUCUUCUUAUUCCUAUUCCACACAAAAGUACAACCUGGUCUCAGCCAUGGCAGACUCUCACCAUGCCAUUUUUGUGCAAGUAUCAUCUCUUUUCUACCUUUGUCUGAGCGUAUUUUAACGUCUCUGUCCCGUUUCGUGUUGGAUGGUACCUUAAAUCUCGAAGCAGAGUCUCGGUCUCUCCAUUUUUGGGUAAGGUCUGAAUCAACCACGUGAAAGGCUUCAACGUCGGAUUAGCACGGGUUUGACUUAGUUUCGAAUUUUCGAUUUUCAAAAUCCUGCUCAAAAAUCGCAAACCCUAGUCUUUUCCACCUAUAUAUAUGUGACAUAUAUCUUCAGGAAAGGGGGAUUUUUUUGAGUUUUAGCCGCCACACCUCUCUUUGAAAUUAAUCUUCUCACUACUGUUCUGAUUCACAAGACGAACGAUGCAUUUCUUUUAUUAUUUCUGCCGCAACCUCGAGUCCGAGGAUCAUUCAUAGUUCGAGCGUAGAUCGGAGAUCCGAAGCUCCGUUCACUGCACCCACAGGAGGUAAACCCAAUCCCUUUAUUCGCUCUUCCUUCCGUUUGAGAUUGCGGCAAAAAAUGGAAUAUAUGAAAUAAAUGAGUGAAACAUGACUAUUUUUUAGUUUGGUUAAUUUGGAAUUCUGUUUUUUUUUUUUUGUUGUUACGUUCGAAUCAUGUUGUCGAAGUGUUAUGAGGAAGCUCUUCUUAUGCGAUUUGUAUUCUCGGAUGUUGUAAAAAUCAUAUUCGCUUGUUUGAAUUCAAGGUCAUAUUUUCUGGCCGCAUAUCAUCCACAGUAUGAGUCUUCGACAAGUGUUCCUGAGUGCUCUAUGUGUUCCAGAAUUUUUGCUUUGCACAUUAGGAGAUUAGUUCACAUUCCUUUCUCUGUUCUUUUCUUACAUAUUUGUUUUAGAACUUAGAUCAAUUAAGUUAAGGCUUCCAGUUUCCUGUCAAUCUGCUCUCUAAAUUUUAAUGUGUCUUGUUUGAUAUGUCUAACUGCCUGAUAUUCGACUCCAUUUUGAUUCUUCUCCAUUGUUUUGAGAGAAUUCUACGUUUGAGAAUCAUGACUUAGAUAUUCAUACCAAUAUGUGUCGUAGAAUCUAGACAUUUAUGUGAUAUUAAGAAUCGUGUCUUGUUUGUUUGGUGAAAUGUGAUGUAUCGUUCUCAACCUACCAGAAGUCCGUGGUUCCACUUUUCAUUUUUUUUACUCGAAGCAUAUUUCGUGUCUUAAUGCGUAUUAGGAAAAUAUCACCAGUUUUUUUUUUUUUUUUUCUGUUUUGAGGAUUUAGAUGUCAUGAAAAAAAUAGAUAUUAUGCAGGUCUUUGUUUGUUGAGGUUACUUUUAUUUGGUCAGUUUUUGAUAUAUCAGUUCGUUAAAAGAGCAUGUUUUCGGGAUUUCACAUUUUGAUGCAAAAUCUGGUUGUGUGCUUUAUGUGGAAAGAUGUCCCUCCAGUAUUUUAUGGUAAUCAUAUUUGGUUUACAUCUCCUGCUGUUAUCAUGCCUGGCUGACUUACUAUCUUAGAAUAAGUUAGCCUAUAUUUAGCACAUUAGUUGAAGCAUCGUUUUAGUAGUUCCUCCCUAUUCUUAGCUAAGGAUCAGAUUUUUAAAAACGGAGACUAACGUUUCAGCCAUUGUGCCUAUAUAUAUUUGUUAUUUAAAGGAGCCUAUCUGUUUAUUACUACUCAAUAUUUGAACUUAGUUGCUAUUAUCACUCACGUUGAUCACCCCAACUGGUUUGGGGUUGAAGAAUUGUUGAUUGAUCGAUGUUGAGGUUAUUUGCGCUUGGAAUGCCAAACUUGAGUGCUGUGCUUUGCCAUCUGAACUUUUCAAACUGGACCUGAACUUUUCAAACUGGUGAACCUCUUGCACUGUUGAGAUUGCAAAGUAUUAAUGAAGAGUAAACAGAAGUAAACCAGUGGAUAAAGUGUGUAUUUUGCCAAGUGCAGUGCUAGACUUAAGUUUAGACAAUAAAAAAACCGAAAGAAUUGGAUGGCAAAGUUAAUACUCCUCCCUUUUUCUACGCCCAAAAAUGAAUAGAUGCUUAUGCGAUGAAAUGAAGUAGACAUGUGCUUAGUUUGGUCUUAUGGGCUUCUGUUUAAACGCAAGUAUAUGAUUGUGUGAAAUAUAUGAAAUCCAUUUUUUUUGUCACACGAAAUGUUACUUGGAACUGAAGAAAUGCUUAAAUAUUUUACUUGUUGAGAAUUAAAUUUCCCUUUGCUAAUUCCUCCUAUUUUUCUUUUCCUUUGCAUGUACAACCGGAGCCGAAGAGUUUCACUUCGAAACUCAAUGACACCGCUCACGGAGUUCGCACCCCUGCAUUGUCCACUUUCUCACUUUGCUUGAGCGGAAAGUUGGCUGAAUAACGAUGCCCCUAUGAAAGCCGAAAUGGCUUUUUAUCAUUUUCAUAUCUCUUUGAUUUGCUUAUCCGUGUGUCUAAAAUCCCUAUGUGACUAACAUUUUACCUAGCUAUGUGAUUGCGAUAAAUACUUAACUGCUUAUUUUAACCGAGCCUAUUUUAUAUUAUGAUGUCUUAAUUAGCAAUUUAGGUCUUAAAUUAAAUGAAGUUUAAUUGCUUACGCUCCCAAAGCCUCAUAAAUUUUACACUAAUGUUAUCUUGUUUUAAGAAAUAAAAAAAAACAAAGCAAACUAGUUUUUUAUGGAACUGUUCCACUUUAGCUUCUUCCUAACAUUUGAAACACGUAUUUGUUAAAACAAUCUUUACGCAGUUUAUACUGAACUAAUAUUCUUUCUAUAAAAUCUUUAAAUGUUUAUUAAAAUUAAUCUUACAAACAAGUGUUUAAAUUUAUUAGUCAGCGUAACUUAUUUUCUCCAAUAUUUAUAAAACAUUGCACUAUCUUGCGUUUUCUUCAGUUUAUUCACAACUAUACUCUUUUAUGCAAAUUAUUAUUUUUCUACCAAUCUUAUUUUAAAUAGCAUUCUUAUACAUCUAUCCAUAACUUUAGCAAUACUUAUAAAGAUAUUUUUUUAAAUAUUAUAAAAUAUUACAUCCACAUUCUUAGCCUAAUUAAAUUUUAGUCCGGUCGGUUAACCAUUAUUAAUGGAAUUUAGAGGAUUCCUAAUACCUUCCCUCUAAGUUAGUUGAACCCUUACCUAGAAUCUUUCGAUUUCGUAGACUUUAAAAUAAAACCAACUUUAGAUAAUUACUUUAAUAAACUUUAGGUGUCCUAAUUCACCAUAAAUAAUUAGGUGGCGACUCUUAACUUUAAAUAACCCCGGAAUUACCCGGAUGUUAUAAAUUAUUUUGACCCCGGUUAAAAUAGGGUAUACAUACAACAUAUGUGGCAGCCUAGUCGGCUUGCAUUGUUAUUUUUAGUGUAUACACACACACACACACACACAUGUAUAUUCAUAUAUGGGUAUGGCGGGGCCCUAUCCCGUCCUUGAUACAACUUUCAAUUCCAUUAGAGGUUUGUAGAUAGUUGUACAUAGUUGACACAUGAUGUAGCCUUGUCGGCUCUCAUUCUUUUGCUGUACAGUAUAUGUGGCAGCCUAGUCGGCUUGCAUUGUUAUUUUCAGUAUAUAUAUAUAUAUAUAUAUAUAUGUAUACACACACGCCGAUAGUUGAUGGAUCUUGAUGCAUAUCUCAUGGUAUUGUUCUUGUAUAAUUCAGUAUAAUUCAGUUAUAAGUCGUGUAUGGGCCACCCUAUCCUUCAGUGAUCUCUAGGUAUGAGUAUAGGGGUGCUUGGUCAAUAGAGGUUAGGUAUUCGUCACAGCUCAUCGGGUUGGGUCGUGACAUCGAUAUGAUUAGAUGGGAGUUUUAGUUUCCCCGAGGUAAGAAGUGGAAAGGAUAUAUAUAUAUGUUUAAAUAUGAUCCUUGAGUGUAAAUGUGUCAAUGAUUUACGAGCAAAAAGAGGUGAAAUCGAAAUUUCGGAAACGGAAAGAGUAUCAGUUAUAAGGAUGAUGAUGCCCAAAGUCUAAAAGGGAUAUGAUAUGGAACGCAAAAUUUCGCCAAGGAUAGUUAUUGUUUGAAUGUCUGAAAAGGGAUAUGAUUAGUUAGAAAAGGUAAAAGAGCGAUGUAUGCCGCUCAAUGAGAUAGAUAUUGACGAGGGCCUCCUGAUUGUAUAGAGAAUAUUGGCAAGGGUGUUAUACAGAGAUAUGAGAUUCAGGUGUCCACAUUUGUUAUUACUUCUAGAGGAAGUUCUGCCAAUAUUUCCAUAAAAUCUCUGAGAGUUUAACAUUCGAGGACAAAUGUUUUUAAGGGAGGAAGAAUGUUACAUCUCAAAUAUUUUCUUGUCGUUUUCAUCGUAAGUAAAGUAACAUAAGCCGGGGAGGUCAUGGAACUCUUAUAAGGUUAAGCAAGAGCUUUAACAACUGCUAAGCAAGUGUCUAAAGGUUCUGGGAUCAAGCGAAUCAAAUGAUUUAAGUUUGUUGAAAUUUUGGGAAAACUUGGCAGAAUUCCGGACAGAAAUUUUAGUCCAACUUUAGAGAGGCAUAUCUUUUAGAAUAUGAGGAGUUAUGGAUCGCAUAACCUACGUAAAUUGAAGUUCAGAGAGUCUUUUCCAAUACAACUGACAGAUCGCAAAUCCGAGACGUACAGUGGAAGAUAUGGCCUGUACAGAAUUGUACGAUUUCUCUGUGAAAUUCGACGGUUGCAGAUCGAUGGCCAGUCAAAUAACGACGGUACCGUCGAACCUGCUGUCGAACUGAGGCGGUGGAACCGACCUUGGGGAUUAUAAAAACCCCACUCCACUCCUUCUCCACCAUUCUACAACCUUCCACCACCCGUGCAUACCUCUAUAUAAUCCCUCUAAGACAUUUUACUCACUUGUUUAUUACUCCCUCCAAAUUUAUACGCUAAUUAGCUCGGGAAGCUUGUGGCAACAUCAUAAUGUUGUAGUUGUUGUUGGAACUGAACGGGGGAAGGCGGGAUCACGAGUUCAAUGCUAACAAAGAUCAACCCAAGCUUAGUAAGGUUAUGACUAAGGGCAUAUCUUUCAAUAUAGGCUCGGGGAAAGAGCGAGCAUCAGAAUAAGGAUUCGUUCAAGGUGAUGGCUCGACAAGUAAGGUCCUGACAGACAGAGUGGAGGACCUCUUCAGUAGGACUAUCAGCUUCAGCGGGUCAUCAGCAAGUGCCAUUGUACCGGGCUUGCUCUUUUGGUAUAUGCUAUGUUUACAUGUUAUGUAUAUGUAUCUUUUGAGUACAAAGUAGGUCAUGUAUAUGUACUCCUAGAGGCUCAUAGACAGUAUGAUGGAUGUAGAUGUCAUGUACGGCCUCGUCGACCUUCGUUUGAUUAUGAGGCUCUUGUGGUAGCCUCGUCGGCUAGCAUAUAUAUUUAUAUAUUUAUAUAUGUAUGGUCAUGCAUAGGUCUUCCGUUGUAUUAGGCCUUUUCUACGUGCAGGUGUCUUUCUAUGUUAACAGUGAGCUCACAUUUCAAGCUAGAAUAGCCGGAUUGAGAUUAUGUCAGUACACACUAGGUGUGACACUUUUAGUACUGCAAAAUUCAAUAGAACAUUUAUUUUCCAUUAUAUUUUUAUAAUACCUUUUUUGUAUUAUUGCACCUAUUUUUGUAACCUCUCAGUAAUAGUUGAGUAAUGUAACAUGAAAUUUUCAUGCUAUUCAAAAUAUAAAAAAAAAAAAUGAAAAGGACAGAAUGAAUAGGAAAAAGUAAAAAAAAUCAACAACUAAGAAGACAUACUCCAAACAAUUAUUAAAGCAAUACCUUUUAUACGCCUAAUUGUCAAAAUACCGUGUGAGAUUCAGUUUACCUUCAAGGUGCUUACUAAAUAUAAAUUUGGAUUAGUUCUAAAUAUAAAUUUGGAUUAGUUUUCUAGAGUAUGUAUCUCUAAAUUAAAGAUGAAAAAAGAAGAAGAAAUUAAGGAAGCACAAAAGCAGAAGGUGAAAAGAUAAUACAAUUACUUAAAAAAAUGAAAAUUCAAAAAGAUGAAGAUUUGAA
Long non-coding RNA from Lycium barbarum (goji berry), 5949 nucleotides. RefSeq lists it as uncharacterized. The transcript has 3 exons. NCBI's taxonomy places the organism in Eukaryota, Viridiplantae, Streptophyta, Magnoliopsida, Solanales, Solanaceae. The record is from RefSeq and is a predicted model, not a curated record.